ACCCGAUGAUCUGCCUCUCUUUGCCAACUUUGAGAUUUGCACGUCAUGCUUGUCUUGUGCAACUGCUGAUGGUUGUGGUGGCUUAGGUGUCCCUGAGCCUUCCUCCUGCCUGUACAAGGCAGUGCUAAAUAAAUCAUAGUGGCUUUCUUUAGGCACAGAAGUGUUCUUUCAUUUGAUCCUGUUAGCGUUCAGGCUCACAACAUUUCUCAAGAGAAAGUCUUUCUGCAUUGCAUCACUGCUAACAUAACAAUUCAUACCGUUUAGCUUAAUACCUUGAUUGUAGAGUACAGCUACCCCUUUUGCAGCUGGAGUACUAGCAGGUGCUUCCCAGUGACUGUUGUCAGAUCUUUGUGGACAGAACUGUGGUUACAUGUAUUUCAUUUUUUCAGGAUGUUAUUUAAGAUGCUCUAAGCCUUCUGGAAGGCCUCACACAAGAUUCUACUUGCUAAUAAACAAUGUGUUAAAAUUUAUUGACAAAGGUAUUUUCACUUAGUGUUUUUACACUUGGCAUGUCACUCUGAAAACCUGUUUCACCAACCUAGAGCUACAGUUUCUAUUUAAAGGGUAUAUUACGUUUUCAGAUAAACUGUAUAAAAAUUGUGAUAUCACUAUCCAUAGCUUUCACUAAGGGCAUACAGCUAUAGCGUUAGAUAAUGAUAGCUUUUUAACAGUGAAAGCAAGUAGUAGCAUUAGGACAGCAAUUCUGAAAAUGGCACUUUUCAAAUUUUGAAAUACCGUGCCAGAUUUAGACUUGGGUUGAUGAGAACAGGUAGUAAGUUAGUUAUUUGAUUCUUGAGUCCUGAACAGAAAUGUCAGCAGACUCCCACCGUAAUGUUGCAUUUUGCUGGAUCUGUUUCUUUUUUUGUCAUUUGCUUUUGAUCUUGUUGGUAACGUUUCUGUUUUGGUGAGAAAAAUUGGCAUUCAUUGGCUUAAUUAGAACUAAGAACAUUUAAGAGCAAUAGGUGGCACUGGCUGUUUUUAUGUGUUACGGAAAAAAAGACUAAGUCUGAGUUAGAAGCCUACUAACUAGAUAAAUGAUGCAGCAAAAGGCAAAUUGAAUGCUUCUACCUAUGUGAAUGUAGGUGCAAGGAACAUCUUUGGAAGAAAAAAAUGCUGGGAACAAUUCCUUGGAAGGUACUGCUUUGGAGAACUUGACAUAGUAUCUUAACAUUAUAACAGUUCAUAAGAUACUGUUUCCAGUGUAACUGCCAUGAUUCUCGAACGCCAGUUUUUCUUGUAGCAUAGUAUUGAUAGCUUUUGAGGUCGGAGAGCUGUUCAUUCUUUUUGUAUGCUGUGGGUGGCAAUACAUGUUGGGCAUGUGAUAUUGAAAAUCAUGUAAAAAGUGAUAUACAGUCUUUUAUUUAUGUUAGUGUUUGAUGGGGGGUGUGUGUGGUUUUUUGUUGUCGUUGUGUUUGUUACCUCUUUAAGUGUUCUGGAACAAGUUAUGGAUAGCCUUCCCCCUCCCCGCCCCCUUUUUCUUUUCUUCUUCAAAACUAUUUUAAUUCUUUAUUGUGAGGGUGGUGAGGCAUUGGCACAGGUUGCCCAGAGGCCCAGAGAAGUUGGGAUGCCCCAUGGCAGGGGGUUGGAACUACAUGAUCUUUAAGGUCCCUUCCGGUCCAAACCAUUCUGUGAUUCUAUGAAUUUUCUACAUGAAGUUUUGAAAGUAUACCACAGAAUGUGUAAUGCUGCUGACUUUUUGUGAAUAUUCUUACUCUUUUCAUUUUACUUUUCUGGGGAGUUGCUGAACUAAAACUUUUCAAAUUUAGGAGAAAAAUACUUCACAAGUGAGUUUUGGAAAGCUUUUGCCUUUGUGUAGAGGGAAACUAGUUUGUAUGAGGACAGGAAGGUUCAGUUGUUAUGUUAGGUAAUACUGACGUACCUGCAAUGUUAGUACUUGUCUUGUUGAGAGUAAUGCUGAAAUUAAAGCCAAAAUAUAAUCUGAAAGACCAUAAUAGGUGGGCUUGGUUCUUAAUAAAUUAAAUAUAUCUGCUAAAAAAUUGCAUUCCUUCAUUAAUUACGAUUUAAAAUUAUGAUUCUCUAGAGAAAGUCCAAGCAGUGAAUCCUACAUGUUUUAGGUUGUCGAAGCUGGCCAGAUAUCAAAUAUUGUCUGCGGGUUUUGGGUCUGUAGUUACACUCUCCACUUACAGACAAUGUAUUUGCCUCCUGUCUGGACAGCAGGGAUGCAGUAGUUUAAAAUGUUAAGAAGUUCAAUCUUUUACCAGAGCUUUCCCAAAUACUUUUAUCCAGAAGUGCCUCAAGGGCAUAAUCCCUUUGUUUCACAAUUUAACUCUUUAUAGGAAGUAAUUGGAAUUGGUCUGUCGCACUCAGCUAGAAAUUCCUUUCAGAAAUCCUGUGCAGAGACUUUCGGAGAGAACACAAAAUAAUACAAUAGGUUUACCUGAGAGAUUCCAGCUGUUUUUGAAGCCUGUCCCUUCAUGUUGCAGGUGGUUAUAUGGCACAGUUACAUAGGUACAUGUAAUUUUGUGAAUGUAAAAAGUAUUUGCAA
Long non-coding RNA from Strigops habroptila (Kakapo), 2506 nucleotides. RefSeq lists it as uncharacterized. The record is from RefSeq and is a predicted model, not a curated record. Lineage: Eukaryota; Metazoa; Chordata; Aves; Psittaciformes; Psittacidae. The transcript is spliced from 3 exons.